GCACAAGCGGUGGAGCAUGUGGCUUAAUUCGAUGCAACGCGAAGAACCUUACCUGGGUUUGACAUGUACGGAAAUCUGGCAGAGACGUCAGGUCCGCAAGGGUCGUACACAGGUGGUGCAUGGUUGUCGUCAGCUCGUGUCGUGAGAUGUUGGGUUAAGUCCCGCAACGAGCGCAACCCCCGUCGCAUGUUGCCAGCAUUUAGUUGGGGACUCAUGCGAGACUGCCGGUGACAAACCGGAGGAAGGUGGGGAUGACGUCAAGUCAUCAUGCCCCUUAUGUCCAGGGCUACACACGUGCUACAUUGGCGCGUACAGAGGGUUGCGAUACCGCGAGGUGGAGCGAAUCCCUUAAAGCGCGUCUCGGUUCGGAUUGCAGGCUGAAACCCGCCUGCAUGAAGGCGGAGUUGCUAGUAAUCGCGGAUCAGCACUGCCGCGGUGAAUACGUUCCCGGGC
This 453-nucleotide ribosomal RNA is filed under the name uncultured bacterium. RNAcentral's name for it is "bacterial SSU rRNA". It matches the Rfam family "Bacterial small subunit ribosomal RNA", at positions 923 to 1379 of the family's 1533-position model. The record is from RNAcentral.